AAAAUGAUAGAGGAUACACUAAUUUUUUUGUCAAAUCUUUAUAUUUCAAAAUCACUAAUUGUCAUAUAUACUUUAGCCACAUUAGACAAUUCUAUAAUUUUUAUUUAUGGAAAUAAUGAAGAACAUUAAUAAUUAAUUUAUGGUUUGUUUAAUUAAAAGCUUAUUAUAUAUUUAGAUGAACCAACAUAUUUUUAUAGAUAUUUUAAAAAUCAUUGUGAUGAUGGCACAUGGUUACCUCAAAUGUUGUAAUUGUAAUGUUUCUUUUUAAAUAUAUAGAGAAUUAUUACUUGACAUUUAUCUUACCUUUCUAUUAGUAUCAGACUAUCAUUUGAUUGUUUGGAUUUCUAUUUAUUAUCAUUAUCAAUCAUACACUGCGAUAGAAGAAGGAAAAAAGUACACUCAAGUGAGAUAGACUCAUGAAAACUAGUAGACUAGUGGUUUAAGUACAGAGUGGGUAAUUUUGUGCUGCUGGUUUGAAAUUUGGUGAACUUUUUUUAUAUGUUAUAUCUGCUGUUUGGUCGAUUCUGAGAAAAUCACAUUUAAUGCUAAAGAAUGGACAUAAAAAUGACAUAUAGACUCAAGAAGCCUAUUGUUCUGAUUGUGUCCAGAUGGCAUAAAAGUGGCAGACACGAUGAGUCUCUGCACUGCCCGCAGACAGAUGUUGUCUUUGCAUUCAACCCAAUAAGAGAGCGUCCAUGUAUGAAGGAAAAAGGACCAUUAGACUACCCAUUUUGUUAAAACUUGAAUCCAGUUUUUUUUUUUUUGUAAACUAACUUGAAUUCAAUUUUCUCUUAAAUUCACUUGCGAUCACAAACCUUAGUCUCCGAUUAAACUUGCACAAAGACUAUAACUAAUUAAGAAAAAAAAUAAAAAAAUAAUAUUAUUUGUUUACUCAAUGUUCAUCUCACUUCUCAAUCAAAAAAGCAUUUAUAAGUUACUCAAUCCAUUUCAAAAUAAUGAUGUUUUGAAGAGUUAUGAUAUUUUAAAAUACAUGAUUUUUUGAUAUUAGUUUUAAUUUUAUUAAAAACUAUAUGACCAAUAAUAUUUUAUAAUAUUUUUAUGAUUAGUUGAUUUAGUAUUACUUUAUAUUUUUAAUGUUACUUUUUUAAAAAAAAUGAAUCUCUUAAUUCUUGUGUCUUAAUCCAAAACAUCGACUAUUUUAGAACAUAGUGAGUAUAACACUGAGAUGGAUCUCCUCCAACAAUCCACUAGUUCUUUGGCGAUUUAGAACACCUGCAAUAAUAGGUUGUAGUAGAAGUUCUUAAAAUUAAAAAAAAAAAAGAUAAAAUCAUAAAUACAUGGGAGAGAAAGGGUAAAAACUGUCUUUUAAUAACCUGUGAUUUACUAAAAACACAUGUGUCAAUCUGUUAAUUUUUAACAUAUUCUGAAAAACUAAACAUAUAAUCAUGUAACUAAAAUAAUGAUUUUUUUUUCCUUUUAGAACCCUUUACAGUUUUUACUGAUAAUGGUGCUUUUACAAUCUUAAGCUUCCGAUUACACAAGCCUUUCUACAAAAAAAAAGCUUCCGAUUACACACAUUCUUCUCUCUCUCUCUAUCUCACUUUGCUGUAACAACUUUUGAGCAAGAAGAAGUGGUAAAGAUUACAACGGCUAGAUGAAUACUUACAAUCACAAGCCCAACUCACAUGCAUACAACAAUACGUGCCAAAGAGAGUUGGUUAGCUAGAAACAAUCCAUCUUAUUAAAACAUAAGUACACUUAGAGCAUCUCCAAUGUAUUACUCCAAAUUUUACUUCAAAAUGGUGUAACUUCAAAAUGAAGUUAAGUUUUACUCCAAUGUAUUACUCAAUUAUUUACUCCAAAGAAAAAAAAUAUUCAUUUUUCAUUUAGUUAAUAAUUGUUAGUAGUACCUUCAACUUAUAAAAAUUAACAAUUAACCCAACUAUUUUAUGUUUACAAAAUUUUCAUAAUAAUACAUUUUAUUUAAAUUAAAUAUUUAUCAUUAAAAAUACAACUAGAUAUUAUCUUUCAAUUUCAAUUCAUGCAGUUUUUAUCAUAUGCAAUUUUUCUAAUUCAAAAAUAUUUAUAUGCAUUAAAAGAACAUAAAGAAAAAACAAAGUUUUAUUUUGUAAUUUGAAUUAUAUAUUGGGUCCUAUUGUUUGUGCAUAUAUCAAGUUCAACAAGUACAAAUGUUAUCAAUCAAUAUUUUGACCAACAAGAAUAAAAAACUCAUCUAUUCCGUUUGAGUAAUACUUCACCGAUUUUGGUAGUUUCGAAAACAAUUUACCGAAUUAAUUAUUAAAUUACUUAUUCAUAUUAUAUUAUAUUUAUUACAUAUUAUUUAUUCUUUGUUUUGACUUUUAUGAGUUUAUGCAUAGUUUAUGUAAACUAUUAAAUAAUCUUUUGCGGAGUAUUAUAUUUUUUGCAUGUUAUUAUAUUAUUUUAAGUAUGAAAUAAAAACAUUAAAGAUUAAAAAGACCAUUUCAUAAAUAGAAAAAGUUCAACUACAAAAUAGAGUAAUUAUGCUGAAGUCUUGAAGUCAUUAAGUCAUAAAUGGAGUAACCCUAGUCAUUACUUCAUUUUGGAGUUGAAUAUGGAGUGAGAUUUGAGAAGAUUUUACUCCAUAAUUGAGUUUGGAGUGAAAAAUGAAGUAGGGUUGGAAAUACCGUUAAGAAUUACCCUUAAAUUUUAAGUUAUUUACAUUACAAUGCCACUGAAGCUUUAAAUAAUCAUUCCUUUAAAUAAUAUUGUUUUUUCUGAUUAAUUAAUGCAUAUUCCUAACUAGAACUUUUCCUACGAAAUCGGAAAUAAUGACUUAAUGACUUCAAGACUUCAGCAUAAUUUGUUUCCAUCAACUAAAUUACAGUGUCAAAAAUAUCACGCCAAUUGAAUGUUAUUCCCUUGUUCCUAAAAGAUCCAUAUUCUAGUUUUUCACACAUUUUAAUAAAACACAUUAAAUUUGCAUAAUUUUUUGUGUUUAUCUUUUUUCUAUAAUUUUAAGCCAAUAAAAAAUCAAUUAGUGCAAUUAAGUUUUUUGAAGUUUGCAAUUAGUUAAUAAAACAUGUAUUGAAAAUGUAAAAAAUAGAAUUUUUUGAAACAAAUUUUUUCUCUAGAAUAUGUAUCUUUAAGGAACGGAGGGAGUAUAAGGAGACUGUAACAAGAAGCUUUCAUUUUCACUUACUAUGAUCUGUUUUUAAUAACUAAACUACAGUGUCAUACAAAAAAUAUUACACCUUUCUUAAUAACUGUAACCUCAAGCUGUAGUUCUUCUCCUAUAGCUGAUGGACCUGUAUACAGAGCAAUGGACAACAAUUUUAGUUUUAAAUAAAAUUAAAAUCAUAACUUUAAGUCUUCAUUCAUAUCAUACUUAUGUUAAUAAUUAUUCCUCCAAAAGUCCUAUGUUCAGUCACGUUAUCAUUGGCAUCAUAUAGAUAUAUUAUUGUAACCCAUAACAGCAACAAGAUGCAUAUAUAUGUAUUUCUAAAUGUAUAAAAUUCCAAUCAAAUAUACCUAACAAUUUUCUAAUCUUUCUAAACAAACCAAAUCAAUAAAAUCAAAACAGUUAAUGCCUCAGGGUAUGACUCGUUUCUCUGCUAUUACUCGCAAAAGCUGCUUUUGCGUUUGGUAGCAGUUGUUGACGUUUUACCGGCACCAAAGUUAAGUAAUUCUUCUACUUCUACCUCUCUCUCUAACUAAAUUGUACACGUUAAAGAUUUUAUAGAAGAUUUCCCUUGAUAAAAAAAGAAAGAUUUCCAAUCCCACUUCUCUAGAGUGUCUUUUACGUCAACACUAAUCAUAUAUUCCAUCCGUAUCCGUUUCAUAUCAAGUGUCACUUUGACAUCUUUUUUUAAAAAACUAUGUAAUAGACUAAUAUAUCUUUAUUUAAUGUUUGAUUAAUUAAAUGAAUAUGAUUUAUAUAAAAAUUUAUUAGUUAUUCAAAAGGGUAAAAAAUAAAUUUAUUGUACAAAGUUACAUUAAAAUUGUAGAAUAACACUUAUUUUGAAAUAAUAAACAAACCUAAAAUGAUACUUAUUAUAAAACAAAUGGAGUAAAAAUUAGGAACCAUGAAAGUUUUGAAAAACUUUUGAUAGUUUUUGAAAUUUAAUAAAUUUUAGAUAGUUAAGAUAAUUUUAUCACUUUAAGAACAUAGGGCAGAUUUGUAUAUCAGUAUUUUGAUUUCAUUUUACAAGUUUUAGUCUGUUUAUGUUUAAUAUUCUAGUUAUUUUAAUACUAAUUUUUUUUUUUAAAUUGAAAAAUAUUUCAAUUUGUUUUACCAGUUACUAAAAUUUAUGUUGAUUUUUUUUUCUGAAAUAAUUUUUUUUUAUUUCCAAAUAAUACAAAAUAUGUUAUUGUUAUUUAUAAUUUAUUAAUAUUUACAAUUUUUUUAAUACGUUUUAAUUUAUGAUACAUAUAUCUGGAUAUGAUUUUUUUAGAGCGAAAAAUAUUUAUUUGAAUAUGUCAAUCUUUGUGAAUAUCUGUAUGCUAAUUGAAUAUGUUUAGUAAUAACCAAAUUAAUAUUAUUAAUUUAUAAAAAUAAGAAAUAAAUUAAUAUAUUAGACUAAGUAAAAUUAAAUUUAAAAUAUUAAA
Long non-coding RNA from Brassica rapa (field mustard), 4548 nucleotides. RefSeq lists it as uncharacterized. NCBI's taxonomy places the organism in Eukaryota, Viridiplantae, Streptophyta, Magnoliopsida, Brassicales, Brassicaceae. The record is from RefSeq and is a predicted model, not a curated record.